RNAcentral lists this ribosomal RNA (469 nucleotides) under uncultured bacterium. RNAcentral describes it as "partial 16S ribosomal RNA". It matches the Rfam family "Bacterial small subunit ribosomal RNA", at positions 28 to 507 of the family's 1533-position model. The record is from RNAcentral.
GACGAACGCUGGCGGCGUGCUUAACACAUGCAAGUCGAACGGUGAAGCGAGUGCUUGCACUCGUGGAUCAGUGGCGAACGGGUGAGUAACACGUGAGUAACCUGCCCAUCACUCUGGGAUAAGCACUGGAAACGGUGUCUAAUACUGGAUACGACCAACCCUUGCAUGGGGUGUUGGUGGAAAGAUUUAUCGGUGAUGGAUGGACUCGCGGCCUAUCAGCUUGUUGGCGGGGUAAUGGCCCACCAAGGCGACGACGGGUAGCCGGCCUGAGAGGGUGACCGGCCACACUGGGACUGAGACACGGCCCAGACUCCUACGGGAGGCAGCAGUGGGGAAUAUUGCACAAUGGGCGAAAGCUUGAUGCAGCGACGCCGCGUGAGGGAUGACGGCCUUCGGGUUGUAAACCUCUUUCAGCAGGGAAGAAGCGAAAGUGACGGUACCUGCAGAAGAAGCACCGGCUAACUACGUG